CCUAAUACAUGCAAGUCGAACGAGUUCUCGUUGAUGAUCGGUGCUUGCACCGAGAUUCAACAUGGAACGAGUGGCGGACGGGUGAGUAACACGUGGGUAACCUGCCCUUAAGUGGGGGAUAACAUUUGGAAACAGAUGCUAAUACCGCAUAGAUCCAAGAACCGCAUGGUUCUUGGCUGAAAGAUGGCGUAAGCUAUCGCUUUUGGAUGGACCCGCGGCGUAUUAGCUAGUUGGUGAGGUAAUGGCUCACCAAGGCGAUGAUACGUAGCCGAACUGAGAGGUUGAUCGGCCACAUUGGGACUGAGACACGGCCCAAACUCCUACGGGAGGCAGCAGUAGGGAAUCUUCCACAAUGGACGCAAGUCUGAUGGAGCAACGCCGCGUGAGUGAAGAAGGCUUUCGGGUCGUAAAACUCUGUUGUUGGAGAAGAAUGGUCGGCAGAGUAACUGUUGUCGGCGUGACGGUAUCCAACCAGAAAGCCACGGCUAACUACGUGCCAGCAGCCGCGGUAAUACGUAGGUGGCAAGCGUUAUCCGGAUUUAUUGGGCGUAAAGCGAGCGCAGGCGGUUUUUUAAGUCUGAUGUGAAAGCCCUCGGCUUAACCGAGGAAGCGCAUCGGAAACUGGGAAACUUGAGUGCAGAAGAGGACAGUGGAACUCCAUGUGUAGCGGUGAAAUG
RNAcentral lists this ribosomal RNA (677 nucleotides) under Lactobacillus casei group sp. RNAcentral describes it as "bacterial SSU rRNA". It matches the Rfam family "Bacterial small subunit ribosomal RNA", at positions 47 to 688 of the family's 1533-position model. The record is from RNAcentral. Lineage: Bacteria; Bacillati; Bacillota; Bacilli; Lactobacillales; Lactobacillaceae.